Non-coding RNA from Hammondia hammondi, 154 nucleotides. The record is from Rfam. NCBI's taxonomy places the organism in Eukaryota, Apicomplexa, Conoidasida, Eucoccidiorida, Sarcocystidae.
CGAUGUUCUCAGGGCGGGGUGAAAAUCCCCACCGGCGGUAAGGGUGAUGAGCCCAAGCCCGCGAGCGCCUUCUUCCGCGAAGCCGGAAGAAGGGUCAGCAGAUUCGGUGCAAUUCCGAAGCCGACGGUUACAGUCCGGAUGAAAGAGAACGGUU